This is a small nucleolar RNA of Vicugna pacos (alpaca), 75 nucleotides long. The record is from Ensembl. NCBI's taxonomy places the organism in Eukaryota, Metazoa, Chordata, Mammalia, Artiodactyla, Camelidae.
UGGAUCGAUGAUGACCUAUGCCAGCAUAUGAGUCAUCAAUGACGAAUAAUUCAUGUCUGGAACUCUAAGGUCCAA